AUUAAAAACCAAUGCCCUUCGGGGCUCUCUGGUGAUUCAUAAUAACUUCUCGAAUCGCACGGCCUUGCGCCGGCGAUGGUUCAUUCAAAUUUCUGCCCUAUCAACUUUCGACGGCUGGGUCUUGGCCAGCCGUGGUGACAACGGGUAACGGAGGGUUAGGGCUCGACCCCGGAGAAGGAGCCUGAGAAACGGCUACUACAUCCAAGGAAGGCAGCAGGCGCGCAAAUUACCCAAUCACGACACGGGGAGGUAGUGACAAUAAAUACUGAUACAGGGCUCUUUCGGGUCUUGUAAUUGGAAUGAGUACAAUUUAAAUCCCUUAACGAGGAACAAUUGGAGGGCAAGUCUGGUGCCAGCAGCCGCGGUAAUUCCAGCUCCAAUAGCGUAUAUUAAAGUUGUUGAGGUUAAAAAGCUCGUAGUUGAACCUUGGGCCUAGCCGGCCGGUCCGCCUCACCGCGUGCACUGGCUCGGCUGGGUCUUUCCUUCUGGAGAACCGCAUGCCCUUCACUGGGUGUGCC
RNAcentral lists this ribosomal RNA (518 nucleotides) under uncultured fungus. RNAcentral describes it as "SSU rRNA". It matches the Rfam family "Eukaryotic small subunit ribosomal RNA", at positions 214 to 732 of the family's 1831-position model. Lineage: Eukaryota; Fungi. The record is from RNAcentral.